GAAGUGUUCUAUGUUACAGGUGAUGUUAGAUGAGAAAGUGUUAUAUGCUACAUGGAGAAGUGGUAUGUCUGUGUUGAACAGACUAAUACUAGCUGAAGGGGGAGGUGGUGUGUUCUGAGCACAAGCGCUUGUGUGUUUAAUAUGUGUUUACUAGUUUUUUUUUUUUGCUAGUAAUCUGUGUUUGUUUACUUCUGGUGCUGAACUGAUACUGUGAUUAUUUUCUUGUGAAACAUAUGAUCUGAUGUAUGUUUUAG
Molecule: long non-coding RNA, 254 nt
Filed under: Lathyrus oleraceus (garden pea)
Lineage: Eukaryota; Viridiplantae; Streptophyta; Magnoliopsida; Fabales; Fabaceae
Description: Pisum sativum (pea) long non-coding RNA (PSAT_LNC021117)
Source: RNAcentral